This 253-nucleotide ribosomal RNA is filed under the name uncultured bacterium. RNAcentral describes it as "partial 16S ribosomal RNA". It matches the Rfam family "Bacterial small subunit ribosomal RNA", at positions 524 to 776 of the family's 1533-position model. The record is from RNAcentral.
UACGUAGGGUGCAGGCGUUAAUCGGAAUUACUGGGCGUAAAGCGUGCGCAGGCGGUUUGCUAAGACAGGUGUGAAAUCCCCGGGCUUAACCUGGGAACUGCGCUUGUUACUGGCAGGCUUGAGUGUGGCAGAGGGGGGUGGAAUUCCUGGUGUAGCAGUGAAAUGCGUAGAUAUCAGGAGGAACACCGAUGGCGAAGGCAGGUCUCUGGGCUGACACUGACGCUCAUGCACGAAAGCGUGGGGAGCAAACAGG